GUAGGUGGCAAGCGUUGUCCGGGAAUUAUUGGGGCGUAAAGCGCGCGCAGGCGGUUCUUUAAGUCUGAUGUGAAAGCCCACGGGCUCAACCGUGUAGGGUCAUUGGAAACUGGAGAACUUGAGUACAGAAGAGGAAAGCGGAAUUCCACGUGUAGCGGUGAAAUGCGUAGAGAUGUGGAGGAACACCAGUGGCGAAGGCGGCUUUCUGGUCUGUAACUGACGCUGAGGCGCGAAAGCGUGGGGAGCAAACAGGAUUAGAUACCCUGGUAGUCCACGCCGUAAACGAUGAGUGCUAAGUGUUAGGGGGUUUCCGCCCCUUAGUGCUGCAGCUAACGCAUUAAGCACUCCGCCUGGGGAGUACGGCCGCAAAGGCUG
RNAcentral lists this ribosomal RNA (375 nucleotides) under uncultured organism. RNAcentral's name for it is "partial 16S ribosomal RNA". It matches the Rfam family "Bacterial small subunit ribosomal RNA", at positions 527 to 896 of the family's 1533-position model. The record is from RNAcentral.